UACCGUGCGCUCUCUUCAGAAAAGCUGGCUGGUUCUUCUUGUCGCAGGUUUUACAGGCGGUGUUUGUGAGGUGUUAGUGAGGCUUUCCAGAAGUUUCUGUCGACUUCCCAGCGUUAGCAUCCCACGUUAACUUAAUCCAGGUGUGCAGAUACCCAGCCCAGGCAGCGAAGAGAGCCCAGCCACAAGGAACACUUAAAGUUGAGGCAGCUAUACAGGCUCUCCUGUGGUCAUAUCAGUGUCACUUUGCUACUCCUGUAUAUGAGGUUUGCCAAGAAAGGCUGUGUGGGAGCUGGCAGUUGAAUUCCAGGCUGCAUACUACUUGAUGCCCAAAGCAUUUUAAAGUAUCAUCUUCCUGGCUUGUAACAACCACAGCCAGUGGCUGUGGAAGCUUAUCCCACCAGUGUCAGUGCCCAGUAGAGACUAUUGACUCGGCGUCAAAAUUAAACUCUGUGUGUCUUUGUAUGCACACAGACUACUUGUCAGUAAAGAGAGGGAGGCUUUGAAUUCUGCAUUCUUCAAGAAAAUUUAUGUGGAAGUAAAUGAAACCUUUUAUCCAUUAAUAGUUUAUUAUUUAAUCACUGGUUUCUUUUGGAGCACUAGGCAAUUGGAAAGGAAGGAAAUACGAAUGAUUUGGAUAUGACAAAUGCCGGUGUGUGUCUCUUGAGGACGGUUAGGUGAUGGCUGAGCCUGUUAGGAGGAAGGGCUAUUCUCUCUGUAGGGAGAUUUUACAGCACUUCAGAGUACAGACUCUUUGCCAGCUAUUUUAAUAUUUAGGCUUACUUUCAACUUCUGUCCUGUCUUUGUCCCUGUCUGUGCUGUAAUAACAAGCACAAAUGGAAGCCAGAAGCUGCGUGUUGGCUUUCCGUAGUUCAGCAGAGCUGCUGUGAAAAGGCUAGACAUCUGAAUGCUUCCAAAACAAGACCAGUUAUUGCAUGAGACAUUAGAAUGCCAAAUAAUGUGUACACAAAUAAUGCAGCUCAUUGCUAUUUCUGCAGUCGGACAAUAUCACAGUAAGGGUCUUCCCCGCUUCAGGGCUGGACUAAGCAGUUGUGGAAUGGAUUGCACUACAAAAAGCUCCUAGGGAAAUGACAUCAAAAAUUGGCAACAAUUAAUCUAGAAUGCUGAUUCCAAGAAUAAUAUUUAUCUGAAAAAUAGUGAAUCAAAUCAUGCAGGUCUAACUGGGCCUACCAUUAAUAAAUUAGACUAGUUUAUUUUUGUAUGAGUCAUUAAUCAUAUUACAGUCAUCACUGUGGUUAUCUGAAAGUAUUUUAAUUUAAUCAAAAUACAGUUAAAACUCAUUUAAACAAAUUUGGCUUUAAUUGUACUGCCUCACACACAGAUUAAUCUUUUCUAGCAUGGUGUAAAGAAUUAAGACACCAACAUAGGUCUUUUUUUAUACAUAUCUGACUGGAUUUAUGCGUAUGUUGGUUUUGAGCAUGCACUUUACAACACUUUGCUUUUUUCCUUACUUUAGGAUAAAAGAGAACAAUAUGCCAUGCUCUGUGGCUUCCAUGACAGUGUUCGUAGCUUGUACGGGCCACCUGCUGUGGUGUAACGUAACUGCUGCAGCGCAUUGCUUUCCUGGCAUAUGCAUAACCUAACAGCUGGAGAGUGUGAGCCCUCUGGAUUCAUCAGGAAAUCGCUUUUAUGUGUACCUACGCUGUAUAUUUCAAGCCAUUUGUAAAAUAAUGCUAACUCCUAGGUUACAAAGACUACACCGUGACCGUUGUUUGCAGGGGCAUGUGUGGUUUCUCUUCUGAACUUCUGAUCAGAGUGCAGUCAAGAACAAAUUCAGACCCUAAUGCAGUGAGCUUUGUUCAGCCGGAAUUUGAAAACCUCCAAGGACAGAGACCCCGCAGCCUCUCUGACUCCUGCUACUGUGCUUAAUUAUUCCCACAGUCAUUUUUUCUUCUUUCUGUCCAUGCUGAACCUCUCUAGUUUCAGGCAAUGUCCCUGUCUCUUGCCUUCCCAACUGGCACUGCUGGGAAGAGCCCAUCCCCAUCUCCUUGAUCCUCCAUCAUCCAUAGGCAUGGGGAUGUUGCUUGGUGUCCCGAAGCCUUCUCUGCUGCAGAAGGGCUGGACCUCAUAGGGUUUGCACAGCCCAGUUAAGGCCUCAUGGGUGCUGAGCAAAAGAGGGAUCAUUCCUGCUGCCCCCAGGGAGAAACAUAGGGGAAAAUCCUUGAGAGCAAGCUUAGGGCUGCCUUUGAGCUGGUGUGGGAGCCCAGAGGGCUGGCCAGCAGUGCUAGAAUGUGGGGAGAGCUUGUGGGACUGUCACGGUGCCUCAAAGGCAAGCGUGAGUUUUUAUUGAACUCUUGCUGAAUGGAUUUGGAGAUGUGUCAUGGUUGGGGUGACCUGAUGGGGCUCUGGGAAAAUACAAUGAAGGUUGCAGUGACUGGUGGGAAACUGAUGCUGAGCACAAGAUUAA
Molecule: long non-coding RNA, 2425 nt
Organism: Oxyura jamaicensis (ruddy duck)
Lineage: Eukaryota; Metazoa; Chordata; Aves; Anseriformes; Anatidae
Exons: 3
Source: RefSeq, a predicted model, not a curated record